AACGAACGCUGGCGGCAGGCCUAACACAUGCAAGUCGAACGCCGUAGCAAUACGGAGUGGCAGACGGGUGAGUAACGCGUGGGAACAUACCCCUCGGUUCGGAAUAACUCAGGGAAACUUGAGCUAAUACCGGAUACGUCCGAGGUUUUAAUCGGCCUUGGAGAAAGAUUUAUCGCCGGAGGAUUGGCCCGCGUCUGAUUAGCUUGUUGGUGAGGUAAUGGCUCACCAAGGCGACGAUCAGUAGCUGGUCUGAGAGGAUGAUCAGCCACAUUGGGACUGAGACACGGCCCAGACUCCUACGGGAGGCAGCAGUGGGGAAUUUUGGACAAUGGGGGAAACCCUGAUCCAGCCAUGCCGCGUGAGUGAAGAAGG
Molecule: ribosomal RNA, 372 nt
Filed under: uncultured bacterium
Lineage: Bacteria
Description: bacterial SSU rRNA
Rfam family: Bacterial small subunit ribosomal RNA
Source: RNAcentral